Polistes dominula (European paper wasp) is the source of this 782-nucleotide long non-coding RNA. RefSeq lists it as uncharacterized. Lineage: Eukaryota; Metazoa; Arthropoda; Insecta; Hymenoptera; Vespidae. The record is from RefSeq and is a predicted model, not a curated record.
UUGUUAUUAUUAUUAUUAUUAUUAUUAUUAAUAUGUAGUUUGUGUACAUAUAUACAUAUAAGAUGUAUUAUAAACGUGUUCUCAUAAUUAAGCAUUAUUCACAGUUAACUGUGUAUUACUAAACUAUUCUUUUAUUCGGUUUUUCUUUUUUUUCCUUCGGUAGAAACAAAACUGAUAAUAUCAUUGUAUACCAUUCGUUAUUUUACCUAAUUUAUUGUAUUUAGCUUUGAAAUUAGCUUUAGAUUUGUUUGUAACAAUCGAAUAAUGAUAUUUAAAAUUAUUUGUCAAAAUUGAAGAGAGAAAAAUGAUUAGGAAAUAAAAUGAAAUUAAAAGAAAAAUAUUUCUCAUACGUAUGAAUUGUACCACAUAAUGAAUAUUUGGAUAAGUUUUUCAAAAUGUCUAUUCAAAAUACAGCACUAGCCAUUAAGAUAGGAUAUAUAUUAGCAUGGACUUUUAUUGCCAGUUAUUAUUUUUUAUGGGGAGCAAGUGAAGCGGCAGAAGCAAUAAAUUACGUGGAUGAAUCUGGCUGGGUUCCAGAUGGAGCUUACGCUUAUAAUAUGGCACGAGAAGUAGUACAUGAACAAACAUUAGCCGAAGAAUGAAAUAAAUCUAACUUAAUAUAAAGGUUUUUCAAAAUAUAUAUUUAUAUUUGUGAAAUAAUAUUGAUUUAACGAAAUAAUGAACAUUUGUACACUACGUUCUAUAAUGUUGAGAAACGGUCUUAUAGAAAUUUAGGAUUCUACAUUAGAUGCAUGGUAAAGAAAUAAAAAAUUGUAAACUUA